UGGUGAACUGCUGGCUGAGCUACGUAACAUACCUCUUGUGUACAGUCUCCACUUCUUUCCUGGCUUUGCAGUUGAAAAGCAGAGUGGAGGACUUCCAUUCCCUCCAUCCUAUGUAUCUAUUAUCUUGUCAGAAUUAAGUGAUCAAAUGACAUUCAUCGAGAGGGUAAAAAAUAUGUUGUAUGUGCUUUAUUUUGACUUCUGGUUUCAAAUGUUUCAUGAGGACUGGGAUCAAUUUUAUAGUGAAAUACUAGGAAGACCCACACAUUAUCUGAGUUGAUGGGGAAAGCUGAAAUGUGGCUCAUUCGAACCUAUUGGGAUUUUGGAUUUCCUAGCCCACUCUUGCCACAUUUUGAAUUUGUUGGAGAACUCCACUGCAAGCCUGUCAAAACCUCUGCCUAAGGAAAUGGAACAGUUUGUCCAGAGCUCUGGAGAAGAUGGUAUUGUAGUGUUUAGCCUGGGGUCAAUGGUCACUAACUUGACUGAAGAAAAU
Long non-coding RNA from Phyllostomus discolor (pale spear-nosed bat), 490 nucleotides. RefSeq lists it as uncharacterized. The record is from RefSeq and is a predicted model, not a curated record. Lineage: Eukaryota; Metazoa; Chordata; Mammalia; Chiroptera; Phyllostomidae. The transcript has 3 exons.